This is a long non-coding RNA of Caenorhabditis elegans, 731 nucleotides long. Ensembl annotates it as ncRNA. Its record names the gene linc-96. The record is from Ensembl. Lineage: Eukaryota; Metazoa; Nematoda; Chromadorea; Rhabditida; Rhabditidae.
AAGAAUGUCAACUUUUAGAAAGUUCCUGCUAACAAUGUGAGCUGAAAAAAAUUGCAGCGCCUUUCACAUUGCAAAUUUUUUAAUCAAACUAUAAAGCUUGGAAUUCAAUUAUUGAAAUUGUGGAAUCAAAUUGAGAAAAUGAAAAAAAAAAACGUAUUGCCGCAACAAAGAAAGCCCCGCUUUUCAUCUUCAUAUUGACAGUGAAGAAAAAACAAGCCAAAUGAUAACAAACUUUUAUGAUUACCGUUUUGAUUGAAAUCUAUAAAAGUUUCAAAAGGAACAUUAGAUGGGAGUGCAUUCUUGGUCAUCAGGGAAAAGGGGCGGCGCGUUUGCACCGAAGAUCAGUAAGGCGUGAUAUGAAGUCAGCAGCAUUCCUUGAAUUUAGACUUCGCCUCAAAACGACAAGGAAGACUGUAAAACGUCUGAAAUUCGGAUCAACAGACAAUUUGAAACUUAGUCUACUGAACAAUGAAAUUGAGAGUUCCGUUGCAGUAAUGGACACUAUAAUUGUUUGAUCUCAAAGUUGAUUGAACUACUUCUACGACGACGAUUCAACCACAUCUUCCGAUCACCUUGAGAAAUAAUUUAUCUCUUUUUGAUAAGAACGCACGUGGCGAUGGCCUCUGCAGAAGUUUGCUCCUCUCGAGAAUUCGUUGACUUAUCGCACGUUUUCAUCAUUUUCGCAAUUAUUUUUGUUUGAUCUUUUGACAGAUAACAAUGAGGUGGUGAUG